GCCUCGGUGGUGUAGUGGUUAGAGCACGCGUCCACGGAUAGGAUGAAGCGCGGGUUCGAAUUUCGCUUGAGGCC
Molecule: non-coding RNA, 74 nt
Organism: Parelaphostrongylus tenuis
Lineage: Eukaryota; Metazoa; Nematoda; Chromadorea; Rhabditida; Metastrongylidae
Source: the annotation of a GenBank genome assembly